This 484-nucleotide ribosomal RNA is filed under the name uncultured bacterium. Its description in RNAcentral is "partial 16S ribosomal RNA". It matches the Rfam family "Bacterial small subunit ribosomal RNA", at positions 28 to 523 of the family's 1533-position model. The record is from RNAcentral.
GACGAACGCUGGCGGCGUGCUUAACACAUGCAAGUCGAACGAUGAAGCUGGAGCUUGCUCCGGUGGAUUAGUGGCGAACGGGUGAGUAACACGUGAGUAAUCUGCCCUUGACUCUGGGAUAACUGCGGGAAACUGUAGCUACUACCGGAUACGACACCUUCGGGCAUCCGAUGGGUGUGGAAAGAAUUUCGGUCAAGGAUGAAUGCGCGGCCUAUCAGCUAGUUGGUGAGGUAAUGGCUCACCAAGGCGACGACGGGUAGCCGGCCUGAGAGGGUGACAGGACACACUGGGACUGAGACACGGCCCAGACUCCUACGGGAGGCAGCAGUGGGGAAUAUUGCACAAUGGGCGAAAGCCUGAUGCAGCAACGCCGCGUGAGGGAUGAAGGCCUUCGGGUUGUAAACCUCUUUUAGUUGGGAAGAAGCGAAAGUGACGGUACCAACAGAAAAAGCACCGGCUAACUACGUGCCAGCAGCCGCAGUAA